Molecule: ribosomal RNA, 521 nt
Filed under: uncultured bacterium
Lineage: Bacteria
Description: bacterial SSU rRNA
Rfam family: Bacterial small subunit ribosomal RNA
Source: RNAcentral
CCAGCGAGCUUGGCAGAGAUGCCUUGGUGCCUUCGGGAACGCUGAGACAGGUGCUGCAUGGCUGUCGUCAGCUCGUGUUGUGAAAUGUUGGGUUAAGUCCCGNAACGAGCGCAACCCUUAUCCUUUGUUGCCAGCGAUUCGGUCGGGAACUCAAAGGAGACUGCCGGUGAUAAACCGGAGGAAGGUGGGGAUGACGUCAAGUCAUCAUGGCCCUUACGAGUAGGGCUACACACGUGCUACAAUGGCGCAUACAAAGAGAAGCGACCUCGCGAGAGCAAGCGGACCUCAUAAAGUGCGUCGUAGUCCGGAUCGGAGUCUGCAACUCGACUCCGUGAAGUCGGAAUCGCUAGUAAUCGUGGAUCAGAAUGCCACGGUGAAUACGUUCCCGGGCCUUGUACACACCGCCCGUCACACCAUGGGAGUGGGUUGCAAAAGAAGUAGGUAGCUUAACCCUCGGGAGGGCGCUUACCACUUUGUGAUUCAUGACUGGGGUGAAGUCGUAACAAGGUAGGCGUAGCGAG